AGAGUUUGAUCCUGGCUCAGAACGAACGCUGGCGGCGCGUCUUAAGCAUGCAAGUCGAGCGGCAAGCUAUGUGUUUACACGUAGCCUAGAGCGGCGGACUGGUGAGUAACACGUGGGUGACCUACCUAAAAGUUGGGAAUAGCCCGUUAGAAAUAGCGGGUAAUACCGAAUGUGCUUACAGGAAGAAAGUCUUGUAAGGAAAGGAGCUACGGCUUCGCUUUUAGAUGGGCCCGCGCCCCAUUAGCUAGUUGGUGGAGUAAAAGCCUACCAAGGCGAUGAUGGGUAGCCGGCCUGAGAGGGUGAACGGCCACACUGGGACUGAGAUACGGCCCAGACUCCUACGGGAGGCAGCAGCUAAGAAUAUUCCGCAAUGGACGAAAGUCUGACGGAGCGACGCCGCGUGGAUGAUGAAGGCCGGAAGGUUGUAAAAUCCUUUUGUCAACGAAGAAUAAGCGGAGGAGGGAAUGCCUUCGUGAUGACGUUAGUUGACGAAUAAGCCCCGGCUAAUUACGUGCCAGCAGCCGCGGUAACACGUAAGGGGCGAGCGUUGUUCGGAAUUAUUGGGCGUAAAGGGCGCGUAGGCGGUUUUGCCAGCCUGAUGUGAAAGCCUGGGGCUUAACCCUGGAAUUGCAUUGGGAACUGCAAGACUUGAAUCAUGGAAGGGAAAUCAGAAUUCCAGGUGUAGGGGUGAAAUCUGUAGAUAUCUGGAGGAACAUCGGUGGCGAAGGCGAACUUCUGGCCAUGUACUGACGCUGAGGCACGAAGGCGUGGGGAGCAAACAGGUUUAGAUACCCUGGUAGUCCACG
This 806-nucleotide ribosomal RNA is filed under the name uncultured bacterium. RNAcentral describes it as "bacterial SSU rRNA". It matches the Rfam family "Bacterial small subunit ribosomal RNA", at positions 8 to 799 of the family's 1533-position model. The record is from RNAcentral.